Molecule: ribosomal RNA, 118 nt
Filed under: Calidris pygmaea (Spoon-billed sandpiper)
Lineage: Eukaryota; Metazoa; Chordata; Aves; Charadriiformes; Scolopacidae
Source: RNAcentral
GUAUACGGCCGUACCCCUCUGAGAACCGCCGAUCUCAUAUCAUCUUGGAAACUAAGCAGGGUUGGGCCUUGGUAAUACUUGGAUGGGGACUGCCUGGGAAUACCGGGUGCUGCAGGCU